GGCCUAACACAUGCAAGUCGCGGGCGAGCACGGGUAGCAAUACCUGGUGGCGACCGGCGCACGGGUGCGUAACGCGUAUGCAACCUGCCCCCAUCAGGGGAAGUAGCCCGCCGAAAGGCGGAUUAAUGCCCAUAGGCCCAGGGCGCCGCAUGGCGCUAUGGGUAAAGCUCCGGCGGAUGGGGAUGGGCAUGCGUGCCAUUAGCUAGUUGGGGCGGUAACGGCGCACCAAGGCGACGAUGGCUAGGGGGUCUGAGAGGAUGGUCCCCCACACUGGUACUGAGACACGGACCAGACUCCUACGGGAGGCAGCAGUGAGGAAUAUUGGUCAAUGGGCGGAAGCCUGAACCAGCCAUGCCGCGUGCAGGAUGACGGCCCUACGGGUUGUAAACUGCUUUUCCCCGGGAAGAAUAAGCCCCUCGUGAGGGGUGAUGCCGGUACCGGGGGAAUAAGGAUCGGCUAACUCCGUGCCAGCCGCUGC
Molecule: ribosomal RNA, 478 nt
Filed under: uncultured bacterium
Lineage: Bacteria
Description: bacterial SSU rRNA
Rfam family: Bacterial small subunit ribosomal RNA
Source: RNAcentral